AUUGAACGCUGGCGGCAUGCCUUACACAUGCAAGUCGAACGGUAACGGGCCUUCGGGUGCCGACGAGUGGCGAACGGGUGAGUAAUACAUCGGAACGUGCCCGAUCGUGGGGGAUAACGAGGCGAAAGCUUUGCUAAUACCGCAUACGAUCUACGGAUGAAAGCAGGGGACCGAAAGGCCUUGCGCGGACGGAGCGGCCGAUGGCAGAUCAGGUAGUUGGUGGGAUAAAAGCUUACCAAGCCGACGAUCUGUAGCUGGUCUGAGAGGAUGAUCAGCCACACUGGGACUGAGACACGGCCCAGACUCCGACGGGAGGCAGCAGUGGGGAAUUUUGGACAAUGGGCGCAAGCCUGAUCCAGCCAUGCCGCGUGCAGGAUGAAGGCCUUCGGGUUGUAAACUGCUUUUGUACGGAACGAAAAGCCUUCUUUUAAUACAGGAGGGUCAUGACGGUACCGUAAGAAUAAGCACCGGCUAACUACGUG
This 482-nucleotide ribosomal RNA is filed under the name uncultured bacterium. RNAcentral describes it as "partial 16S ribosomal RNA". It matches the Rfam family "Bacterial small subunit ribosomal RNA", at positions 30 to 507 of the family's 1533-position model. The record is from RNAcentral.